Molecule: long non-coding RNA, 2998 nt
Organism: Cygnus olor (mute swan)
Lineage: Eukaryota; Metazoa; Chordata; Aves; Anseriformes; Anatidae
Exons: 2
Source: RefSeq, a predicted model, not a curated record
UACUAUGCUUAUAAUCAUCAGAUAUACUUAGUGUUUUCAAAUUUCAGAAAAUGACUAAACAGAAUAAGCAAGUUGCAGUUAUCGAACACACAUAUGAACUGCCUUCAGAUGUUCAGGCUAGAAGGGCCUUAAUGAGAUCAGUUUCUAUUAUCUUGAAAGGUCUGGUCAGAAAUAGCUUUGGGACCACAAGAACUUAUCUCAUGUUGAUGGAAGAUCAAAUUUCAUGCUUUGUAGCUGCAGUUAUGAAACAAAAGGUUGCUUGCCAGCAUCAGCUUUUCUGAGACCACAAGAAAACUCUAAUAGACACUUCACCACCGAAGCAAGACAAAAAGAAAUAAUUACUCGUUUUUUACUUCUUGCUUUAGAAAAAAAUGGUAUUUUUACAUUUGCACUCAUCUUUCAGCAUACCAGGAUUCUUUUUUUUCUGAACUUUAGGAGAAAGGUUAGCACUGAAAGCAUUUGCAAAAUAAUUUGGAUUAAUGUUAUAUCUCACCAUAAGGGUAGAUGCUAAAUUAGAAAGAUUUGCAGAAUUUCCAUUCAUAGCUCAUCUUUUAAUCAACUUGAAUGAACUUAAAAUCAAGUUAAAAUGAUGGGAAGAAAUCUCACAAUUGUAUUGGAAAUUUUCCUUGCUAGCUAGCAUUUUUUGGGGGGCAUAAAAUACUUUGAUUUGAUUGACUUUCCUUUUUGAUUUGAUUUUGAUCUGAUAGACUUCCUUUGAUGUAUUUUUCUGGGAUAGGCAUUAGCUCAUGAAACGAUUAAAGGCUUCAUAUAGGAGCUGCUUGGUAAGAAUAUACAUGGAGACAAAAGCACAUCAGUAAAUCAUAUCUGCCUUUACAAUAAAUGCAUUAAUCCUGAGUGAUCCAUCCAGUUCUUCACUGAGAUUGUCUUUAAGUCAUAUAGACUUUGACAUCUAAUUUCAACAACCUUGUUUUUUAACAUAACUUAUUUAGAUCUACACCUUUUUGUCAACACAUGUUUUUGAGUAGCAUGUUGAAUGGAGUGAUGAUAUGGAUUUAAUAGCAGAAGAAAGAAAUAAAACCUCUCCCCAUUCACACCAGUAUCAUCUGAUGAAGAACUGUUGCAGCUGUGCAACUAGCUAGCCCUCCCCCUGGCCUCUGUAUAGCAGGUGGUGCCUGGGGUGGGGAGGUUUGAUAUAGUAGCCUGGGAUGGGCCUAGGAGAGAUGAUGGUAGAGGUAUGGUGUAGGGAUGAGGCUAAUUUCUUUGUGCUUGUUUCCCUAAAUAUGGUGUAGAGUCCUAAUUCUUAGUUGCACUUUACAGUGUGGCUAACGAUAGAGGCUGUUUAGGUUGCUAGCUCAUGAGGCGAGAAACACCUCACUGUAUGACUCUUUCUUGCCAUCCAGUUACCUUCUUUGCACUCUGAAGAUCUGUUGAAAGUCACUUGUGUUGUUGUUGGUAGCCUUAAACCUCAGUUUUAGGCUCUGCAGAAGCUUUGGUGCUGCUAAUACUAAAAUCUUUAUCUGCUUCCUGGCCUGCACUGCAGAGGUAUAUUCUUGAUCUUAUUGUUUGUUUGCCGUGAGUGAGCUUGAUGUGUACUUUAUUCUGCCCUUCCGUAAAACCAAGAAAACAUAUCUCUUGGGAAAGCUGUGAGGCUUGCUUUCCUAGGCCUUGCUGGCUGUGUUCCCACCAGAAAAGGAGCCUGUCUUCCUUCUGUUCUCCAGGGCUGGAAGCAGUCUGGGUACUGCAGCAUUAACAGUAGUCUCCUGCUCCUCCUGUACCUUGUAUGCCUUCUGUAGGUGCUGCCUUUACUCCAUUGUACAGCACUAGCAAGCUGUUAUUCAGGAAACAAUUUUAACUUAUCUCAAGGUGUCAACAGGGAGUGGUUUCAGAGAGUCACAAAAAGUAGAAUGCUUCUAUCCCUCGGGAGCCUUGAAAAUAUAGGCUGGUAUCUUGGCUGGUUAAUUCAACUCUUCCAUCUGGUGAUGCUGUCCAGUGUCUUUCUAGCCCUCUAUUGUGCAGUGGUUUCCCUGAGGAGAAUGUUAGUUUAAGUGGCCUCUGUACUUUUGCUGCUAUUAAUCUACAAGUAUUGAGUGACUAUCAGAGCAUGCCUACGGCUUGAAGGGUCCUCGCUUCGCUUUACCUAAAGCGAAGGCUUCCCAUGCAGUGAGGUUUUAUGAGGUCCUAGGCCUCCCUCCUGCCUGUGCUUUUAAUGCCUCACAGAGGAGGAGCUGCUUGGGAUGCCCUCUCUGGAGACCCAUUGCAACCAAUGCCAUGCCCUGCCUUGUUUGUGUCGAACAACUACCCUGAGGACUUUGCUCUGUACAUGUGUAAGGUAAGACUCUCAAGUGUGAGGCCGUGAAACAAACUCCUGGAAGUGUUGUUGUGAAGCGGCCUGUGAAGUCCUGCAUGGUAAGGGAGGUGUCAGAAUGCUGGCCAGUUGCGUUGCUUGGUCUAGCUUACCCUGGUGGAGGGAGCACUUGAGAUGCUGCUAGGGGGAAGCGAAGGAUAGAUGUGAAUUAAUUGGAGGGAAUAGUUGAGAAACAUCCUGUCAGGAAGGAGUCUACCAAACUAAAUGCACCUCUCAAGCUGUUUCUGCCUAGAGGCAGCAGAAGCCUGUGGCUAGCUGGCAGGAAUGACUAAAUUUUUCCAUGUCUUGUUCCAGAGGAAAUUGAAAUUCUUCAACCUCACAGUUCUUGUUUAGAUCUGAGAAAAAAGCUCUACCACCCAUAGUACUCCUCUAUCGGGGGAAGGAUGAGAUGAAGAAGAGAAUUUGUUAGGCAGGAUUGGGAGAAUAAACCCUACUGAAGGUUGUAUUAUAAAUGGGUACUUGGAAGCAUUCAUCAGCCUCUUCAGUAUUUUCAUUCAUUAGUAACAGAAGAUACCUACAUCCAACUGGCUCCCAACCGCAUGAAGAACUUACCUGUUUCAGAAUAAAGGCACUAUUGUUAGCAACACUUUAGUGACUCCUGUAAACUGGAUUGAAUUCACUAGUUCAGAAAAAUGCUAAGAUUGUGACCAUGGAGCUUUUCUACUAAUAGAA